RNAcentral lists this ribosomal RNA (329 nucleotides) under uncultured eukaryote. RNAcentral's name for it is "partial 18S ribosomal RNA". It matches the Rfam family "Eukaryotic small subunit ribosomal RNA", at positions 1470 to 1796 of the family's 1831-position model. The record is from RNAcentral.
CCCUUAGAUGUUCUGGGCCGCACGCGCGCUACACUGAUGCAUUCAACGAGUCUAAAACCUGCUCUGAUAGGGGUGGGUAAUCUUUUGAAUGUGCACCGUGAUUGGGAUAGAUGAUUGCAAUUUUUCAUCUUCAACGAGGAAUGCCUAGUAAACGCAAGUCAUCAGCUUGCAUUGAUUACGUCCCUGCCCUUUGUACACACCGCCCGUCGCUCCUACCGAUUGAAUGAUCCGAUGAAUAUCAUGGAUUGAGGAUGUAAGCAGGUUCGCCUGUCUUCAUCUUCGAGAAGUGAAGUAAAUCUUAUCAUUUAGAGGAAGGAGAAGUCGUAACA